CCACCAGACUCCUACGGGAGGCAGCAGUGGGGGAUAUUGCACAAUGGGGGGAACCCUGAUGCAGCGACGCCGCGUGGGUGAAGGAGCGUUUCGGCGCGUAAAGCCCUAUCGGCAGGGAAGAAGGAGGACGGUACCUGACUAAGAGGCCCCCGCUAACUACGUGCCAGCAGCCGCGGUAAUACGUCGGGGGCAAGCGUUAUCCGGAUUUACUGGGUGUAAAGGGAGCGUAGACGGCAAGGCAAGUCUGGAGUGAAAGCCCGUGGCCCAACCACGGGACUGCUUUGGAAACUGUGUUGCUGGAGUGCAGGAGGGGUAAGCGGAAUUCCUAGUGUAGCGGUGAAAUGCGUAGAUAUUAGGAGGAACACCGGUGGCGAAGGCGGCUUACUGGACUGUAACUGACGUUGAGGCUCGAAGGCGUGGGGAGCAAACAGGAUUAGAUACCCUCGUAA
RNAcentral lists this ribosomal RNA (449 nucleotides) under uncultured bacterium. RNAcentral describes it as "bacterial SSU rRNA". It matches the Rfam family "Bacterial small subunit ribosomal RNA", at positions 328 to 793 of the family's 1533-position model. The record is from RNAcentral.